This 460-nucleotide ribosomal RNA is filed under the name uncultured bacterium. RNAcentral describes it as "partial 16S ribosomal RNA". It matches the Rfam family "Bacterial small subunit ribosomal RNA", at positions 338 to 795 of the family's 1533-position model. The record is from RNAcentral.
UCUACGGGAGGCAGCAGUGAGGAAUAUUGGUCAAUGGACGCAAGUCUAAACCAGCCAUGCCGCGUGCAGGAAGACGGCCCUAUGAGUUGUAAACUGCUUUUGUACGAGGGUAAACGCAGAUACGUGUAUCUGUCUGCAAGUAUCGUACGAAUAAGCAUCGGCUAACUCCGUGCCAGCAGCCGCGGUAAUACGGAGGAUUCAAGCGUUAUCCGGAUUUAUUGGGUUUAAAGGGUGCGUAGGCGGUCGGAUAAGUUAGAGGUUAAAUCCCGAGGCUCAACUUCGGAAUUGCCUCUGAAACGGUUCGGCGAGAGAGUAGUUGCGGUAGGCGGAAUGUAUGGUGUAGCGGUGAAAUGCUUAGAGAUCAUACAGAACACCGAUUGCGAAGGCAGCUUACCAGGCUGCUUCUGACGUUGAAGCACGAGAGCGUGGGGAGCAAACAGGAUUAGAUACCCUAGUAGUC